RNAcentral lists this small RNA (93 nucleotides) under uncultured Psychrobium sp. Its description in RNAcentral is "Alpha operon ribosome binding site". It matches the Rfam family "Alpha operon ribosome binding site". Rfam says of the family: The bacterial alpha operon ribosome binding site is surrounded by this complex pseudoknotted structure. Lineage: Bacteria; Pseudomonadati; Pseudomonadota; Gammaproteobacteria; Alteromonadales; Shewanellaceae. The record is from RNAcentral.
AGGUCGAGUAUCCUAACGGGCUUUUCGACCCCAGUCCAUUAAACUUAGAGGAGUGCUACAGUGGCCCGUAUCGCUGGCAUUAACAUUCCUGAU